AGCCAAACAGCUAGCCUAACAAACCAUAAGCAACAAAAAAUUAUCAAUAACCCUAAAAACACUCAACCAACUAAAUAAACCAUUUUCCCUCUCUAGUAUAGGAGAUAGAAAUAGACACCCUGAGCCAUAGAUGACGUACCGCAAGGGAACGCUGAAAGAGAACUGAAACAACCCAGUAAAGCUAAGAAAAGCAGAGCUUAAGCCUCGUACCUUUUGCAUCAUGAUUUAGCAAGUAACCCUAAGCAAAAAGAAUUUUAGUUUUAGCCCCCGAAACUAAGUGAGCUACUCCAAGACAGCCUAUAUUGAAGGGCAAACCCCUCUCUGUGGCAAAAGAGUGGGAAGAGCUUUGAGUAGAGGUGACAGACCUACCGAACUUAGUUAUAGCUGGUUGCCUGGGAAUUGGAUAGAAGUUCAGCCCUCUGCCUUCUUAAGUCAAAACCAAACCUUUAAGCAGACAAAAAGAAAGCAAAGGAGUUAGUUAGAGGAGGUACAGCUCCUGUAUCACAAGACACAACUUUACCAGGAGGAUAAAGAUCAUAAUUUUUAAGGAAUCUGUGUUUAGGUGGGCCCAGAAGCAGCCACCCUCAAAGAAAGCGUUAAAGCUCGAACACAAAACUUCCCAUCAAUAAUGAUAACUCAUCUGAAUCCCCUAGUACUACCCGGCCUUCCCAUGCACUCAUGGGAUAGAUAAUGCUAAUAUGAGUAAUAAGAAAGAAAGACUUUCUCCCGGCACAAGUGUAUAUCGGAACGAACCCGCACCGAAAAUUAAAGGCCCCAAAGCACAGAGGGUAAUGGAACAAACAUCACUAACAAGAAACACCCCCAACACUUGCCUUUGACCCCACACUGGCGUGCCCAUUCGGGAAAACUAAAAGAGAAAGAAGGAACUCGGCAAACAUAAGCCUCGCCUGUUUACCAAAAACAUCGCCUCUUGAACGACACACAUAAGAGGUCCUGCCUGCCCGGUGACCUUGAGUUUAACGGCCGCGGUAUCUUAACCGUGCAAAGGUAGCGUAAUCACUUGUCCCUUAAAUGGGGACCUGUAUGAACGGCAAGACGAGGGCUUGACUGUCUCCUUUCUCCAGUUAAUGAAAUUGACCUUCCCGUGCAGAGGCGGGAAUACUAUCAUAAGACGAGAAGACCCUGUGGAGCUUAAGGCACUUGUUCUGCUCAUGUAGAAAACUCCAAUUAACGAGCACUACUUUGUGAAACCAGACCCAAUGCCUUCGGUUGGGGCGACCCUGGGGAAACAAAAAACCCCCAUGUGGAGUGGGGCUACCAGCCCUAAAAACAAGAGCCCCUGCUCUAAUCAACAGUACCUCUGACCUAACGAUCCGGCCAAGGCCGAUUAACGAACCAAGUUACCCCAGGGAUAACAGCGCAAUCCCCUUAUAGAGCCCAUAUCGACAAGGGGGUUUACGACCUCGAUGUUGGAUCAGGAUGUCCUAAUGGUGCAGCCGCUAUUAAGGGUUCGUUUGUUCAACGAUUAAAAUCCUACGUGAUCUGAGUUCAGACCGGAGUAAUCCAGGUCGGUUUCUAUCUAUGACGUAAUUUAUCUUAGUACGAAAGGAUCAGAAAAAUGAGGCCCCUGCUUUAAACAAGCCUCCCUCUCACUUGCUGUCUUCAACUCAAGUAAACAAGAGGUUACACAAACGAGCCCCAGAACAUGGCC
This 1672-nucleotide ribosomal RNA is filed under the name Oxymonacanthus longirostris (harlequin filefish). RNAcentral's name for it is "16S rRNA". The stretch from base 102 to 1561 matches the Rfam family "Bacterial large subunit ribosomal RNA". Lineage: Eukaryota; Metazoa; Chordata; Actinopteri; Tetraodontiformes; Monacanthidae. The record is from RNAcentral.